UUUUUUUUGAUAAACUCUAUUAGCUGAUCAGCUCAGCUUUAGUAGAAACGCACCAAAGAGUUGAUUUUUUUCUGAAAGACAACCACAUCACAAUGUCUAACCCAUA
RNAcentral lists this small RNA (106 nucleotides) under Arabidopsis thaliana (thale cress). Its description in RNAcentral is "ATSL082600". Lineage: Eukaryota; Viridiplantae; Streptophyta; Magnoliopsida; Brassicales; Brassicaceae. The record is from RNAcentral.